GGAUGUGAGAGCAAACUGGCUGCAACGUUUGUUAUCCUAUUGAUGCCAUGGUUGAUUCAGCUGAUCUGGUUGGCUAAGCAGGUGUCCUGUUCUUAACAGCUCUGUAUACAUCCCUCCCUUCCUGAAAGAGGAACAUUUGUCUUUGGUCAAGGGUGUAUGAGUAGCUGCACUCCUCUGCUAGAACCUCCAGACAUGUUCUCAAGAAUCUGUCAGGGAAAACUUGUAGGCAUCUAGAUGAAAAUCAUUGCUUAUGUUUGGGCUGUAAGAAUA
This 270-nucleotide small nuclear RNA is filed under the name Jaculus jaculus (lesser Egyptian jerboa). RNAcentral describes it as "7SK RNA (ENSJJAG00000003904.1)". It matches the Rfam family "7SK RNA". Rfam says of the family: 7SK was discovered as an abundant small nuclear RNA in the mid-70s but a possible function has only recently been suggested. Lineage: Eukaryota; Metazoa; Chordata; Mammalia; Rodentia; Dipodidae. The record is from RNAcentral.